AUGAAGACUCCCAUUGAAGUUCUCCUUAAUGAACAACCGGACUACACCUUUCUCAAGGUGUUUGGGUGUGCUUGCUGGCCCCAUCUUCGUCCAUAUAACAAGCGUAAGCUCGAGUUUCGUUCCAAGAAGUGUGUUUUUCUUGGUUAUAGCUCUCUUCAUAAAGGAUACAAAUGUCUUCAUGUUCCCACUAAUCGUGUCUACAUCUCUCGGGAUGUUGUGUUUGAUGAGCAUGUUUUUCCCUUUGCCAAACUCCCUGUGUCCACUACCGAGCCACCUGUCAUGCAUUCAUCCUCUGUUGCUUCUGACCAAUUUGAUGAUGUUGCAUAUUCUCCUCUAUUGUUGCCUAACCAUGGUGCAGGCACUGGUCGUGGGGCUCGUUUGGAGAUUCUGGAAGCGCCAUCUUCCUCUUCGUCGCCAUCGCCCUCAUCCUCGGCACCUUCUGUUGUGCAUGAGGAGCACAUGGCGCCCCUGCAUGGCCUCGGUUUCCGUGCUCAUGCACGGCCGAUCGACGUCCUGGCCCGGUCGCCUCUAGCUUCUGGGCUGCCUUCGCCAUCAUCGCGCCCUGCAACCCCGUCGACUGGGCCGGCCUCCUCGGUCCCCGUCUCGCCCAGGGCGUCGGGGCAGUCAUCACCAGGCCUGGCCUCGCCCACCCCUGCCUCGCCCAGGGUGUCUGGGCCCUUCUCACCAGGGCCGGCCUCGCCUGCUCUCGCCUCGCCAAGGCCGUCUGGGUCGGUGUCACCGGAGCUGGCCUCGCCCACCCUCGGUUCGCCCAUGGCCUCUAAGCCCCUGUCGUCGGACCAGUCUUCGCCAUGCAGCCCGGAGUCGUCUGUCCCGAGCUCGCCUGAGGUGAUUCCUGCAUCUCCGGCGACCGUCACGUCUCCGUCACCUUCGCCUCCGCCGGCUCCUGCUGCUGCUCUACGUCCACAUACGCGCAGUCGGAGUGGCAUUUUUCAGCCUAAGCAACGUCACGAUGGCACAGUUGCUUGGUUAGCGGCGUGCAUGUCUGCUGCUCUCGCAGAUCCAUCCUCUGAGCCACGCACGUAUCAAGCUGCUAUGCGCAUUCCUCAUUGGAGAGAGGCCAUGGAGCAGGAGUAUCAAGCGCUUCUUCGCAAUCAGACAUGGACUCUUGUUCCUCCACAAUCACGGGUAAAUGUCAUUGAUUCCAAAUGGGUUUUCAAAGUGAAGAGGCAUUCUGAUGGGUCCAUUGAGCGCUAUAAGGCUCGUCUGGUUGCUCGUGGUUUUCGACAGCGUUUUGGACUUGACUAUGAAGACACCUUCAGUCCAGUGGUCAAGCCUACUACCAUCAGACUUCUUCUCUCUCUGGCUGUUACUCGAGGUUGGUUUCUUCGUCAGCUUGAUGUUCAAAAUGGUUUUCUUCAUGGUGUCUUGGCAGAGGAGGUUUACAUGCGCCAGCCUCCGGGUUUCUCUGAUCCGGAUCGCCCUGAUCAUCUCUGUCGUCUGUCCAAGGCAAUUUAUGGUCUGAAGCAGGCUCCUCGUGCUUGGCAUGCUCGUCUUGCAAUGGCUCUUCGUGCUCAUGGUUUUGCAUCAUCAACUGCCGACUCCUCAUUGUUUCUUCUUCAAAGGCCUGAGGUUACUAUGUACUUGUUGGUCUAUGUAGAUGAUAUCAUUUUGGUCAGCUCCUCUCAGUCGGCUGCUACUGCGCUUGUUCGCUCACUUGGUGCUGAUUUUGCGGUCAAGGAUCUUGGGAAGCUUCAUUACUUUCUUGGUGUGGAGGUUACUUCUCAUGCUGCUGGCCUUGUUAUGACGCAGAAGAAGUACUCUCUGGAUUUGUUGCAGCGAGCUGGGAUGCUUAAAUGCAAACCGACGACUACACCCAUGUCUACCACUGAUAAGCUCAAUGCUGUUGAUGGUGUGCUUCUUUCUUUUUCUGAUGCGACCGAGUACCGGAGUAUUGUUGGUGGGCUCCAGUACUUGACGAUCACGCGACCAGACAUUUCCUAUGCUGUUAACCGAGUCUGCCAGUAUCUGCAGUCACCCCGUGACACUCAUUGGUCUGCUGUUAAGCGGAUUUUGCGCUAUAUUCGUUUCACGGUGGCUCAUGGUUUGCAUAUCCGGCCGUCUGACUCUGGUUAUCUUUCAGCAUAUUCUGAUGCAGACUGGGCUGGCAAUCCGGAUGACAGGCGAUCCACGGGGGGUUAUGCUGUCUUCUUUGGCUCUAACCUGAUUGCUUGGAGUGCUCGGAAACAGGCUACUGUCUCGCGUAGCAGUACUGAGGCUGAGUAUAAGGCUGUGGCCAAUGCCACAUCAGAGAUUAUCUGGGUACAGUCCUUGCUUCAGGAGUUAAGUAUACCCCAAUCACAGCCUCCUGUUCUUUGGUGUGAUAACAUCGGUGCUACAUACCUUUCUGCAAAUCCGGUAUUCCAUGCCCGAACGAAACACAUUGAAGUUGACUAUCACUUUGUGCGUGAACGUGUCUCUCAGAAGCAACUACAGAUCAAGUUUAUUUCUUCCAAGGAUCAACUUGCUGACAUCUUCACCAAGCCAUUGCCUUUGCCACAGUUUGAGACUUGCAGGCGCAAUCUUACCCUUCUAGAUUCAUUAGAAAGUGGCUAA
Molecule: ribosomal RNA, 2574 nt
Filed under: Triticum aestivum (bread wheat)
Lineage: Eukaryota; Viridiplantae; Streptophyta; Magnoliopsida; Poales; Poaceae
Description: partial small subunit ribosomal RNA
Source: RNAcentral